GUAGAGGAAUUGGUUCCUGUGCUACCGGCUUAGGUUAGAACCUGCGGGGUCACACACAUUAGAGGUUCCUUUUUGAUCUGAUGGCUGAUUAUGAGUCUUAUGUGUCUGGGACUCUAUGAUUGAGAAUUAGGAUUUCUGAUCAUGAGUUCCACACAUUUUGGGUACCGGAGUCGAAAUUUUGAAUUUCAAAUUUUGAAUUUGAAAUUUGAACUCUUUGAUCAGGGUUUCAUAUCGAUGGUCUCUGAUACCAAUUGCCC
This 257-nucleotide long non-coding RNA is filed under the name Elaeis guineensis (African oil palm). Its description in RNAcentral is "long non-coding RNA (EGUI_LNC018129)". The record is from RNAcentral. Lineage: Eukaryota; Viridiplantae; Streptophyta; Magnoliopsida; Arecales; Arecaceae.